Eriocheir sinensis (Chinese mitten crab) is the source of this 1476-nucleotide long non-coding RNA. RefSeq lists it as uncharacterized. The transcript has 3 exons. Lineage: Eukaryota; Metazoa; Arthropoda; Malacostraca; Decapoda; Varunidae. The record is from RefSeq and is a predicted model, not a curated record.
AACAUUUCGGAGCUCGCACAUCCUCAUUUGACAAGGCUUUGGUGGAGGUUGUUGUGUUAGUGUUUCCAUGGGUAGUGUUAUUAGCCUAGUAAUAGUUUGACAAGGCUUUGGUAGAGGUUGUUGUGUUUGUGUUUCCAUGGGUAGUGUUGUGAGCCUGGUGAUAGUUUGACAAGGCUUUGGUGGAGGUUGUUGUGUUAGUGUUUCCAUGGGUAGUGUUAUGAGCCUGGUGAUAGUUUGACAAGGCUUUGGUAGAGGUUGUUGUGUUAGUGUUUCCAUGGGUAGUGUUAUGAGCCUGGUGAUAGUUUGACAAGGCUUUGGUAGAGGUUGUUGUGUUAGUGUUUCCAUGGGUAGUGUUAUGAGCCUAGUGAUAGUUUGACAAGGCUUUGGUAGAGGUUGUUGUGUUAGUGUUUCCAUGGGUAGUGUUAUGAGCCUAGUGAUAGUUUGACAAGGCUUUGGUAGAGGUUGUUGUGUUAGUGUUUCCAUGGGUAGUGUUAUGAGCCUGGUGAUAGUUUGACAAGGCUUUGGUGGAGGUUGUUGUGUUAGUGUUUCCAUGGGUAGUGUUAUGAGCCUGGUGAUAGUUUGACAAGGCUUUGGUAGAGGUUGUUGUGUUAGUGUUUCCAUGGGUAGUGUUAUGAGCCUAGUGAUAGUUUGACAAGGCUUUGGUAGAGGUUGUUGUGUUAGUAUUUCCAUGGGUAGUGUUAUGAGCCUAGUGAUAGUUUGACAAGGCUUUGGUAGAGGUUGUUGUGUUAGUAUUUCCAUGGGUAGUGUUAUGAGCCUAGUGAUAGUUUGACAAGGCUUUGGUAGAGGUUGUUGUGUUAGUGUUUCCAUGGGUAGUGUUAUGAGCCUAGUGAUAGUUUGACAAGGCUUUGGUAGAGGUUGUUGUGUUAGUGUUUCCAUGGGUAGUGUUAUGAGCCUGGUGAUAGUUUGACAAGGCUUUGGUAGAGGUUGUUGUGUUAGUGUUUCCAUGGGUAGUGUUAUGAGCCUACUGAUAGUUUGACAAGGCUUUGGUAGAGGUUGUUGUGUUAGUGUUUCCAUGGGUAGUGUUAUGAGCCUAGUGAUAGUUUGACAAGGCUUUGGUAGAGGUUGUUGUGUUAGUGUUUCCAUGGGUAGUGUUAUGAGCCUAGUGAUAGUUUGACAAGGCUUUGGUAGAGGUUGUUGUGUUAGUGUUUCCAUGGGUAGUGUUAUGAGCCUGGUGAUAGUUUGACAAUGCUUUGGUAGAGGUUGUUGUGUUAGUAUUGCCAUGGAUAGUGUUAUGAGCCUGGUGAUAGUUUGACAAGGCUUUGGUAGAGGUUGUUGUGUUAGUAUUCCCAUAGGUAGUGUUAUGAGCCUAUAGUGAUAGUUUGUCAAGGCUUUGGUAGAGGUUGUUGUGUUAGUAUUCCCAUGGGUAGUGUUAUGAGCCUAUAGUGAUAGUUUGUCAAGGCUUUGGUAGAGGUUGUGUUAGUAUUCCCAUAGGUAGUGUUAUGAGCCUAUAGUGAU